RNAcentral lists this ribosomal RNA (483 nucleotides) under uncultured bacterium. RNAcentral describes it as "partial 16S ribosomal RNA". It matches the Rfam family "Bacterial small subunit ribosomal RNA", at positions 30 to 507 of the family's 1533-position model. The record is from RNAcentral.
AUUGAACGCUGGCGGCAGGCCUAACACAUGCAAGUCGAGCGGAUGAAGGGAGCUUGCUCCUGGAUUCAGCGGCGGACGGGUGAGUAAUGCCUAGGAAUCUGCCUGGUAGUGGGGGAUAACGUCCGGAAACGGGCGCUAAUACCGCAUACGUCCUGAGGGAGAAAGUGGGGGAUCUUCGGACCUCACGCUAUCAGAUGAGCCUAGGUGGAUUAGCUAGUUGGUGGGGUAAAGGCCUACCAAGGCGACGAUCCGUAACUGGUCUGAGAGGAUGAUCAGUCACACUGGAACUGAGACACGGUCCAGACUCCUACGGGAGGCAGCAGUGGGGAAUAUUGGACAAUGGGCGAAAGCCUGAUCCAGCCAUGCCGCGUGUGUGAAGAAGGUCUUCGGAUUGUAAAGCACUUUAAGUUGGGAGGAAGGGCAGUAAGUUAAUACCUUGCUGUUUUGACGUUACCGACAGAAUAAGCACCGGCUAACUUCGUG